AGUUCACCCUCACAUCCACGAUUAUCUGUUGCCCCAUUGAUUGCCAGGGCUGAUUCAGCUGAUCUGGAAGGCUAGGUGGGUGUCCCUUUCCUCCCUUACCUCUUGCGUCCUUCCCAAAGCUGUGGACUUGGUCUGUGGAAGAGGAGGAUUGUUUCCUUGGUCAAGGGUAUACGAGUAGCUGAGCUCCCCUGCUAGAACCUCCUAACAAGCUCUCAAAAAGUCAUGAUGGUACAUUUUAGGUUAUAUAUAUUUUAUUACAAUAAAAACUCAUUCAAUCUUAGUUAAAAUU
Unclassified non-coding RNA from Fukomys damarensis (Damara mole-rat), 289 nucleotides. Its record names the gene 7SK. It matches the Rfam family "7SK RNA". Rfam says of the family: 7SK was discovered as an abundant small nuclear RNA in the mid-70s but a possible function has only recently been suggested. Two independent studies have found that 7SK RNA binds the CDK9/cyclin T complex (known as elongation factor P-TEFb). The record is from Ensembl. NCBI's taxonomy places the organism in Eukaryota, Metazoa, Chordata, Mammalia, Rodentia, Bathyergidae.